RNAcentral lists this ribosomal RNA (240 nucleotides) under uncultured Staphylococcus sp. Its description in RNAcentral is "partial 16S ribosomal RNA". It matches the Rfam family "Bacterial small subunit ribosomal RNA", at positions 100 to 334 of the family's 1533-position model. The record is from RNAcentral. Lineage: Bacteria; Bacillati; Bacillota; Bacilli; Caryophanales; Staphylococcaceae.
GGACGGGUGAGUAACACGUGGAUAACCUACCUAUAAGACUGGGAUAACUUCGGGAAACCGGAGCUAAUACCGGAUAAUAUUUUGAACCGCAUGGUUCAAAAGUAAAAGACGGUCUUGCUGUCACUUAUAGAUGGAUCCGCGCUGCAUUAGCUAGUUGGUAAGGUAACGGCUUACCAAGGCAACGAUGCAUAGCCGACCUGAGAGGGUGAUCGGCCACACUGGAACUGAGACACGGUCCAG